RNAcentral lists this long non-coding RNA (331 nucleotides) under Felis catus (domestic cat). RNAcentral describes it as "lncRNA (ENSFCAG00000042012.2)". The record is from RNAcentral. Lineage: Eukaryota; Metazoa; Chordata; Mammalia; Carnivora; Felidae.
UGCUAAUGUCAAUCAUUUUUUAAUUUAUACAAAUAGCAGUUUCAUAUGGUUUUUACCCAAUAUCUACCCCAUAAGGCUGUUAUGAUGAUCAUGUGAGAUUAUAGCUUUAUUUGGAUUUUCUCCCAUCAACAAGAUUUUCUUAUUUAUUCUACAGUUAAUAUAAACUUGGGUAGAAAAAUGGAAUCUGCAUCUGUGGAGAGCAUUAUAUCUGAACAAUCAGCAGGUCAUUAGCGUACCGUACAAAUCACCUUGGACUCAGGAUGGAACCCUGGGGACCUGGAGCCGCAAUAGACUGGAGAGAAGACAUGGUGUUGCUGACAGUUACCUCUGA